AGGGUGAAGAAGUCGGUUGGCUGAAGGGAAGCCCGCUGCUUGCAGAGGACGAAGAUGACCAGACUGUUUCCGAACCAGGACAGCCACCCUGCGGAAGCACAGACGCAGCAGACGGGCUCUGCAACCCUCCUCCACCCUGGAGCGAUGCUUUGGGAUGGUCCGGUCCUCAAACACCAUACUGGGGUCUGAGUUCAUCCAUGCAUAGAGCCGAGCCGCCAAAGAUUUGUUUGUUUCUGCACAUCCUAACAUCAUAAAUACAUAUUCACUGGCA
Molecule: non-coding RNA, 271 nt
Organism: Oryzias latipes (Japanese medaka)
Lineage: Eukaryota; Metazoa; Chordata; Actinopteri; Beloniformes; Adrianichthyidae
Source: RefSeq, a predicted model, not a curated record